CUCAAGCAUCAACCGUAUUGAUCAAGCUCUGAGAUAUAAAGGUUGGGUUGAAAACGAAUCAGAGGGGUUUGGUUUUCAAAGCUUUUGAAUUUUUGAUUUUUAUGUAGCAUUUUCGAUUUUGAUUGUAGGUUGCUUGGGUAGGCUAGAGAAGAGGAGAGAUCCAAGAUUGUGGUCGACUUGCGAGGAAGAAUUGAUCAAAGGUCAACUAAGAUCAAGACAAAGAAGAGGAGGAGGACGAACACGUAGAGGGCGAUGAUGUUGAUGUUAUUCGGAGCGAUGCGACUGAAGAAGAAGAAGAUGAGGAGGACGAUGGAUGAGGUUGAAGUUGCCGUGAAGCAUAAAACUUGCCAAUUUUGGAGAUUGGGUUCAGUUUUAAAAGUCAGUCGCUGCAAAACUAGUGUAAGUGUAAUUUCUCUGUAUCCAUUUGCUGUUUUUGGUAACUGAAAAGCUAUGGAAUUCGCCAUAGAAUUGGAAUUCUUCUGCUCUAAGUGGAAAUUUAUAAAAUGAGUUGCUUAGUUUUCUGGAAUGUAUCUUAUUGGUUUCUCAGCUUAUUGUAUACACCAUGCAUUAUAUAAAAGCCAUACUUGCUACUGAUUUUGAGUACUGAAAGUAAGUUAUAUGCACCCUGGAUUUUGUUCAGUUUAAUAGCUUAGGUGAUGAAAGAUUUGGACUUUGUUUGUGUAGGGAUGUAUCUAAUGUAUCUUAUUUUGUCUAUACAUGUGCUGAGAUAAAAUUCUAUUAUUCAAAACAGUUAUGACCAAGAAUAGAAGCUGAUUUUGUAUGGGAAUACUGACUAGUGGCUGGGUCUACUAUUCAAAUCUCCAGAAAUACUUGAAGCUGUUGGUGCAUUUCAAAAGACACCAAUGGUAAUGCACCAACAAAAGGUAUUUGCAACUGGCAUGUGGUUUAUAUUGAUGGUGACCAGACUACAUUAGAUUGACAUUAGAGCGGACUUCAUUAAUAGCACCUGCUGCUACCCUUGAUGUAUUUUGUUUUUGUUUUGGGAUGCAAAUGUUGCAAAGAGAGAAAGAAAUAAAGGUGCAAAGCAACUUGAUCCAAAGUUUGUUCU
Molecule: long non-coding RNA, 1069 nt
Organism: Rosa chinensis
Lineage: Eukaryota; Viridiplantae; Streptophyta; Magnoliopsida; Rosales; Rosaceae
Exons: 2
Source: RefSeq, a predicted model, not a curated record